UAUGAGUAGCGAGAUAGAGGUGAGAAUCCUCUAGGCCGAAUAUCCAAGGUUUCCAGGGUAAAGCUGAUCUGCCCUGGGUAAGUCGGGGCCUAAGGUAAGGACGAGAGUCGUAGCCGAUGGACAACAGGUGGAGAUUCCUGUACUAUGAUAUGACAGAACUGUGGGGACACGUGCAGAGAGCGGAAGCCGGGAAUGGGAUCCCGGUGCAAGCGAGGUACCAGCCGCAUUGGAAAAACCGUGCGGCAAUGGGAAGACGUGAUGCGGAGUGAAGUUUAGUAAUGAAGUCCGUGAGCUGUGCGUCAAGAAAAGCCGCUAUUGUUCAUACCAUACCCGUACCGUAAACCGACACAGGUGGAUGAGGAGAGAAUCCUAAGGCCGGCGGAAGAAGCAUUGUCAAGGAACUCGGCAAAAUGACCCCGUAACUUCGGGAGAAGGGGUGCCUGCGAGAGCAGGCCGCAGAGAAUAGGCUCAAGCAACUGUUUAGCAAAAACACAGGUCUAUGCGAAACCGAAAGGUGAGGUAUAUGGGCUGACGCCUGCCCGGUGCUGGAAGGUUAAGAGGAGAGGUUAGCGGUAACGCGAAGCUUUGAAUUUAAGCCCCAGUAAACGGCGGCCGUAACUAUAACGGUCCUAAGGUAGCGAAAUUCCUUGUCGGGUAAGUUCCGACCCGCACGAAAGGCGUAAUGAUUUGAGCGCUGUCUCAACAAUGCAUCCGGUGAAAUUGAAGUACCAGUGAAGAUGCUGGUUACCUGCGCCAGGACGGAAAGACCCCAUGGAGCUUUACUCCAGUUUGGUACUGGGAUCCGGUACUGCAUGUACAGGAUAGGUGGGAGGCUAUGAAUCGGUAACGCCAGUUGCCGAGGAGCCGCUGUUGGGAUACCACCCUUGCAGUAUUGGGUUUCUAACCAGCCGCCGUGACCCGGCGGUGGGACAAUGCCAGACGGGGAGUUUGACUGGGGCGGUCGCCUCCGAAAGGGUAUCGGAGGCGCCCAAAGGUUCCCUCAGGAUGGACGGAAACCAUCCAAAGAGUGCAAAGGCAGAAGGGAGCUUGACUGCGACACCGACGGUGGAGCAGGUACGAAAGUAGGGCUUAGUGAUCCGGUGGUAUUAAGUGGGAAUGCCAUCGCUCAACGGAUAAAAGCUACCCUGGGAUAACAGGCUUAUCACUCCCAAGAGUUCACAUCGACGGAGUGGUUUGGCACCUCGAUGUCGGCUCAUCGCAUCCUGGGGCUGUAGUAGGUCCCAAGGGUUGGGCUGUUCGCCCAUUAAAGCGGUACGCGAGCUGGGUUCAGAACGUCGUGAGACAGUUCGGUCCCUAUCCGGCGUAGGCGUAGGAUAUCUGAGAGGAGCUGUCCUUAGUACGAGAGGACCGGGAUGGACGGGCCGCUGGUGCACCGGUUAGACUGCCAAGUCUAUAGCCGGGUAGCCAAGCCCGGAAGGGAUAAACGCUGAAGGCAUCUAAGCGUGAAGCCCCCCUCAAGAUGAGAUAUCCCAUCCGAAAGGAGUAAACCCCCUUGAAGACGACGAGGUCGAUAGGGCAGAGGUGGAAGUGUGGUAACACAUGGAGCUGACUGCUACUAAUAGGGUGAGGGCUUGACC
Molecule: ribosomal RNA, 1598 nt
Filed under: metagenome
Description: bacterial LSU rRNA
Rfam family: Bacterial large subunit ribosomal RNA
Source: RNAcentral